Molecule: ribosomal RNA, 450 nt
Filed under: uncultured bacterium
Lineage: Bacteria
Description: partial 16S ribosomal RNA
Rfam family: Bacterial small subunit ribosomal RNA
Source: RNAcentral
GUGGGGAAUUUUGGACAAUGGGCGCAAGCCUGAUCCAGCCAUGCCGCGUGCAGGAUGAAGGCCUUCGGGUUGUAAACUGCUUUUGUACGGAACGAAAAGACUUCUUCUAAUACAGGAGGUCCAUGACGGUACCGUAAGAAUAAGCACCGGCUAACUACGUGCCAGCAGCCGCGGUAAUACGUAGGGUGCAAGCGUUAAUCGGAAUUACUGGGCGUAAAGCGUGCGCAGGCGGUUAUAUAAGACAGAUGUGAAAUCCCCGGGCUCAACCUGGGAACUGCAUUUGUGACUGUAUAGCUAGAGUACGGUAGAGGGGGAUGGAAUUCCGCGUGUAGCAGUGAAAUGCGUAGAUAUGCGGAGGAACACCGAUGGCGAAGGCAAUCCCCUGGACCUGUACUGACGCUCAUGCACGAAAGCGUGGGGAGCAAACAGGAUUAGAUACCCUAGUAGUCC